Pongo abelii (Sumatran orangutan) is the source of this 148-nucleotide unclassified non-coding RNA. It matches the Rfam family "Metazoan signal recognition particle RNA". Rfam says of the family: The signal recognition particle (SRP) is a universally conserved ribonucleoprotein. It is involved in the co-translational targeting of proteins to membranes. NCBI's taxonomy places the organism in Eukaryota, Metazoa, Chordata, Mammalia, Primates, Hominidae. The record is from Ensembl.
GCCAGGUGUAAUGGCAUAUGCCUGUGGUCCCAGCUACUCAGGAGGCUGAGGCAGGAGGAUUGCUUGAGCCCAGGAGGUUGAGGCUGCAAUGAGUAAUGAUUACACCACUGCACUCCAGCCUGGGCAACAGAGCAAGACCCUGUCUCCA